RNAcentral lists this transfer RNA (76 nucleotides) under Caudoviricetes sp. RNAcentral describes it as "tRNA-OTHER". The record is from RNAcentral. Lineage: Duplodnaviria; Heunggongvirae; Uroviricota; Caudoviricetes.
GCGUUAAAAGGACGCGCUACUUUGAGGGGGUAGUGAACGUAAGUUCGUAUGGGUUCAAGUCCCAUCGACCGCACCA